Long non-coding RNA from Panthera uncia (snow leopard), 2254 nucleotides. RefSeq lists it as uncharacterized. The record is from RefSeq and is a predicted model, not a curated record. The transcript has 3 exons. Lineage: Eukaryota; Metazoa; Chordata; Mammalia; Carnivora; Felidae.
AUGAAAUCUGAAACACUCCUGAGAGGCAUGAGGAUUAGUGUUUAGUAUUGGCCUAAACUUUGACCUGAGAUGUGAAGUACUAAUCUCUAAUUAAAAUGUAUUUUAAAAUGUAUUCUCUUUUCACCAAUUCGUUUUAAAAUCCAAUUUUUGGCCUAUUUUGUAGACAAAAUGGAUCACAUUUAUUUGUAUCUUCAUUAUAAUUCUGUUUCUCCUUGCUAAUUUUCAACUUGCCCUCUGCAUAUGUAUUUAUAAAUCGCAUCCAUCAACUCGAAAUAAUAGUGUGUAUGCUGCUUGGAGUGGGCGGUGUGUUUAGAUGGAGAGCUAACAAGUGCCCUGUCAUCCUCUGCAAUGCCACCAAACAACUGUCAAAAUAACAGUAUUGCUCAGCCUGGGACGUCCAAAGGCAAGUUCUUGUUUUGUGAAAGGGGAACUACAACAAAAAGAAAACAAGCUAUGGCGUUCACCUGUUCCAAGCUGCGCCCAUCCUGUUUAUUAUUUGCAGAGUGCUCGUGUUAUUUCAGCCAUGUUGUCCUUUUGAAUGUGCUGCUGCAGUGAUGCUGUGGCCAUCAAAAUCCUUGCCAUUGCUUCGGGACUGAUAAUGUCCCAGGAAUGGGCUUCCUGGCUGUUGCUGGUGACAUAUAUCUAGGAGAUGAAGAGCCUCCUGAUUAGCGAUUUCCUUUUCUUCUGUUGACCAGUGAUGAACUCCCACUCAUCCAUCAAGCCCCAGAAUGUUUGCUGCAUGAAGACAGAGGUCUUAGUCUUGUUCCCAGAUGUAUCUUCAGUGCCCAGAACAGUGCUUGGCAAAAGCACUCAACAAACCGCUGAGUGAGCGACCAAUAUUAUUAAUUCUACCUUCAUUUGCUGAGUGGUCUUGGGCAAGUCUUUUAUAUUCUCUGAGCCUCCAAAUUUCCUUUUAGAAAAUGAGGAUAAACGGAUAAUCUCUGAUAGCAUUGCAGUGAGAAUCGAUGAGAUAAGCAGGCAAAGUGACAAGUGUAAGACCUAACCCAUGAAAAGCUCUGGAUAAAUUUUGGUUUCUUUUCACCUCCAGGGGCCAUAUUAGCCCUCUGACUUUUAAUGCAAUUCUCAAGCAAAUCUGAAUUUAAAAAAAUAGAGCAACUGCAUAGUUUGAAUACAUUCUGUAACUUUUCUGUUUCUCUCCCAGUGUGCGGAACAAUACUGAAAUUUUCCCCUUGCAAUAGUUGGAAAACUGUGUAAGUGGAGGCUCUUUGACUCGGGGUGGGAGUGAAGCUGAGUACAGCCACUGGCCAAGCCUUUCAAACAGUGUAACAAAUGAUGUGUGGGCACAACUGGGGAAAAUGCACACAUUCUUCAUUGGUCUGGUGAAAUCAUGUUUGGCCCCCAGGUGCACUUUACCUGUUAACAGCAUUUAGACAGAUUUAUCAGCUGUAAAUUUUGCACCAUGAAAAAAAAAAGGAACAUUUUUUUCCCUCUUUCUAAAGAUAAAGCAGAAAGAUUUGUCAGCAACAGAGCGAAUCAAACAAAUUAAGUGCAGGGCUUCAUUCUCUCUGCCCCUCAAUGGCCUGGUUGUGACACAUGGACUCUAGGCAUCAAAUUCACAGAAACCUGGGGAGUUACUGGGGGAGAAAGCGUGGUGGGUAUGGGAUGAGUACUUUAGCUGGGGCUGAUGAGCUCUCGUUUAAGAGCCAGAACUGAGUAAAACAGGGACAGUGCAUCCUUAAUUAACACCAUAAGAAAGAGGGAAAAAAAGAAAGAAAGCACAUACCAAAAAAUUAAAAAGAAAAAGAAAGAGGCAUACAAAACUUUCCAGAACUUUUUGUGGUUUUCUUCUCUAUGUAUUUUCAUGAGAUCGUCUGCUUGGAAAUGUAUUGUUUGAAAAACUAGAUGGAAUUAGUUUUAAAAUGCCCCAGAUCAAACUGAUUGCAAUGGGUUAGAAUAUUAUAAGCCGGAUGUUAUGAAACAUCUUUUGUGACAUGGUUGGGGGGCGGGGAAGAGAACGGGAUUAGAUUCAAGUGAGUCCACACUCCACAGUCAACUGGCUGUGUGACUCUGGCUAAAUCUCUAACUCUCUAGAUAGCAGUUUCUUCACGUGUAGUAUUCAGAUUACAAAGCCCAAUUUGGGAGACUGUUGUGUGAAUUUCACGAGCUAAUGUGUUUGUGAAAUUGUGUUAUUAAUUUUAAAGUGUAAUGGUGCCAUUCAUAAUUUUUCUGGAGGAUUAUAAAGAAUUCAAACAAAGUUUUCAUAUUUGUCCUUGGAUAGGAGGUAAAGACUCAU